This 1002-nucleotide long non-coding RNA is filed under the name Cyanistes caeruleus (blue tit). RNAcentral's name for it is "lncRNA (ENSCCEG00000013034.1)". Lineage: Eukaryota; Metazoa; Chordata; Aves; Passeriformes; Paridae. The record is from RNAcentral.
UGGGAGCAGCAUCCUGGGGAUUAAUAACAGGUGUCAGCCCAGACUCAGGGUCUCGUGUCGAGGGAGGAUUAUUUUAUUAUAAUUAAUAUUCUUAUUUCUUAUAUUGUUAAUUACUGGCAGGAGCUCUGUGCUUUGGGGAACCUGCAGUAAUGCCUCCAUCCGUGCUCCAGAUGAUCCUGCAGACUUGGAGAGGCCUUGUCAGAGCUCAUCAGGGUUUGCAGAUGACUGGCUGCCAUACAGCAACCAGAGCUGCAUUACAUCUUACAUCUCCAAUGUGCACAAAUGCACUGAACAGAGGUGGAAAUCUCUCUGGGUAUUGUAUGAUUUUAAGAAUGAAAGCUGAACAUCUUCCUAGACCACCAAGACAAACGCCAGAAUCAGAGCUAAUGAACAACACAACCAUCUGCAGCUGCAGAGCCGGGACAUGAAGGGAAAAAGAUUUUUCAGCACUUCUGCUUCCAAAAUGAACUUUCUUCCUUGAGCUGAGCAAAACAGCACUCAAAGAAAGGCUGGCAAAAAGGAUAUCGAUCCCUCAAGUUUCCAGCAGCACCACUCCAGGGAUUUUGGAGGAGGUUGAUGGUAUUUAGUUAUUUACAGGACUGAGUCCAAACAAACUGGAAAGCUCCAACUCUGGGAAGCUAACUGAUAAUGUUGUGGUAACCAGCAGAAUGCCUCAAUUAAUUCCUCAAUUAAAUCCUCAAUUAACUUAUCAGAUACAGGACAGGCUGAGCUGGACAAGGCAGUUGAUGCCUCAGCAGAAUCCUUUGCCAGGCUGGAAGGAAUGUGGAAAUCAUUCAGGAUUAAAAUUCCUCUGGCCCAUCCAGUUGCCCCUGUGCAAGCACAGCAGGACUGCAGCCCCAGGGUGAUGGCAGGGACAAAAGGUUCCCUGAUCUGCCCUCAUGGCACAUCCCCUCCUCGCUGCUGGACUCUUGAGGACAUGCUCAGCCUUAUGCUAGAGAGAUCAAGAGGGAGAGAACAAAUAAAACUGGCAAGUGCUUCCCA